UAUAUAAGAUAGAAGAAAGUGAAUACACAUUCACACAUAUAAACAACAAUAUACUUAAUACACUCAAACCAUACUUGUAUUAUUAUCGUGUUUAUGAAAGGUAAUAUACACUCACUUGAUCAGAAGAUGUUCAGACAACACUAUGACUUGCAAAAGUAGUAAAUCUCAGCAGAUCUGGAAGAUCUUCACAAAAAUCGAACUUCUCGCGGGCAGAGCUUCGGCUCGGGAACCGCACUUCUUGGGAUCUUCGGGAUCUCGGGACUUGCUUCGGGGCUCGAGAAUAAUAUCGGGGCUACGGGGUAUUUCUGGCAUGCAAAUCAAUGCAAAACGGGAGAGAGAAGAGAGAAAAUAGCAAAAGAACUCGGCUCCCUCGAAUCCUAUUUAUAGGAGGCUGGAGCCUCGGAGUACGUGGGGCGUACUGGUCCGAAAAACAUCACUGCUUACGCAUCUGAAGCCACUUACUGCGAGUGUUGACAUCUUUGAUGUACGCGGGGCGUACUUCGGAUCGGAUCGCUGACUCCCCUUCGGAUAAUGCCGGAUUUUCCAAUUAAAAUUAAAUACACAUUAUUUAAUAAACUUCGGAUAUUCAUAUCUUCUUCAUACGAACUCCGUUUUUGACGUUAUUUAUAUCCACGCGAAGGUGAGACUACGCUCUACAACUUUCAUUUAGACUCCGUCGGCUAAUUNUAGCCUGGGACAGAAAAACUUCGUUAUAAAUUCAUAACUUCUUCGUUUGACGUCCGUUCUCGCCUAACUUUUCAUCGCUUCGAGACCAGCAACGAGACCUUCGAUCCUCGUUUAGAUUGCUUUGACUCAAAACCGCUCGAUCUCAAAUCGAGUAUUUCGGGCUGCACACCGCUAAGCCGAAACUUCAAUAAAUCAUAACUUCCUCAUACGAAGUCAGAUUUGGGCGUUCUAUAUAUAUUCGGAAACCUCGUUUCAACUACUACAACAUUAACCAAAGAUAUUAAGUUUAUUUUACACUUAAAUUUUGACGCUUAUUUUUAUUCUUAAUUAAUCAAACCACAUAAUUAAGCAAUUAAGCACAAAACACAUAAUACUCAAAUAAUACAAUCUUAUUAUUUCAAAACGGGUUACAAAGGUUAACCUAGACUAUUACAUUGCUAAAAAUGGCAAGCCCGGAAACACAGGCGUUACAAUUCUCUCCACCUUAGAAUGAUUCCGUCCCCGGAAUCACACAUCAACAAACAAAUGCGGAUAGCGACUCAACAUGUCACUCUCCGUCUCCCAGGUGAGAUUCGGCCCAUUCGUGUGUUUCCAUCGGACAAGCACUAACCCAACCAUUUUGCGUCGCAACUUCUUAGUCUUUCGGUCAACAAUUGCCUCUGGUUCUUCAAUCAACCUUUUGUUCUCAUCAAUUCUCAAUUCAGAAAUUGGAAUUAUAUCGGGAACUUCUCCCGUGAACUUCCUCAAAUAACACACAUGAAAGGUGUUGUGAAUUCCAUUCAGUUCUUCGGGUAAUUCGAGCUUGUAAGCUUGAUUCCCAAUCCUCUGAAGGACUUUAAACGGUCCAAUAAACCUUGGACUCAACUUUCCCCUUUUACCAAAUCUUAUAAGUCCCUUCCACGGCGAGACUUUAAGCAAAACCGAAUCUCCAACCUCAAAAGUCAUCGGUCUUCGCUUCUUGUCAGCAUAGCUCUUUUGACGAUCUUGAGCUGCUAACAUUCUUUCCCUAAUUAUUUUCAACUUUUCAGCAGUUUGAUGAACCAUCUCCGGUCCCAUAAACUGCUUUUCCCCAGCCUCAAGCCAACAAGACGGCGUACGACACUUCUGUCCAUACAAAGCUUGAUAAGGUGCCAUCUUAAUGCUCGAGUGAAAACUAUUAUUAUAGGAAAAUUCUACCAACGGUAAAUGUUCAUCCCAAUUACCUAGGAAUUCCAAGGUACAUGCUCUCAGCAUAUCUUCAAGUGUUUGUAUUGUUCUUUCACUCUGACCAUCAGUCUGCGGAUGGUAAGCUGUGCUUAAACAUAACUUGGUACCCAUUUCCUCUUGUAGACUUUUCCAAAACCUUGAGGUGAAACGGCUAUCACGAUCCGAUACAAUCGUUAACGGAACACCGUGAAGCCUCACAAUUUCCUUCACGUAAGAAUUCGCAAGCUUUUCCAUAGACCAUUUCUCCCUGGCCGCUAUGAAAUGCGCACUCUUAGUGAAUCGAUCAACGACCACCCAAAUCAUGUCGUGACCAUUCUUUGUUCUGGGCAGUUUAGUGACAAAAUCCAUAGCAAUGUCUUCCCACUUACCCAUAGGCACAGGCAAUGGUUCUAAACUCCCGUAAGGUUUCUGAUGUUGUGUCUUGACUCUCGCACAAGUCACACACUCGGCCACAUACUUUGCAACAUCAAGCUUCAUCGUCGGCCACCAGUAGUAGGGUUUCAGGUCCCUAUACAUUUUAGUGCUACCCGGAUGAAUUGAGUACAUGGUUUUGUGAGCUUCUUCCAUCAGAAGAUCCCUAAUUCCUCCUGACUUAGGUACCCAAAUACGAUCUUGGAAUACCUUCAGUCCAUGACCGUUAGUACCAAACACCAACGUUUUACCCAAACGUUCCUCCUUUCGGUCAUUUUUCUCAGAAGCUUCCUCUUGAGCUUUCUUUAUACUUUCCACAAUAGUCGAGACAACUUCAAUUCUCAACGCUCUUGGCCUCUUCCUUUCAAGAUUGACUUUCCGACUGAGAGCAUCAGCAACAACAUUAGCUUUACCGGGGUGGUAAAGUAUCUCGCAGUCGUAGUCUUUAAGUAAUUCUAGCCAGCGUCGUUGCCUCAUAUUCAAUUCUUUCUGAUUAAAGAGGUAUUGGAGACUCUUAUGAUCAGUGAAAAGUUUGCACUUCGUGCCAUAGAGGUAAUGCCUCCAUAUUUUCAGAGCGAAAACUACCGCUGCCAACUCCAAAUCAUGAGUCGGGUAAUUCUUUUCAUGCUCUUUCAGCUGUCGAGACGCAUAUGCUAUCACCUUUUCUCUUUGGGUCAAAACACAACCCAAUCCAACACCAGACGCAUCGCUAUAAACAGCGAAGUCUUCAACUCCAUCGGGUAGAGAAAGUAUCGGUGCCUCGCAUAGCUUCUUCUUUAACUUCUCGAAUGCUUCUUUAUGCUUCUCACUCCAAGCAUAAGUAGCUCCUUUGUGGGUCAAAGCUGUUAAUGGAGUAGCAAUCGAAGAAAAGCCUUGGAUAAACCUUCGGUAAUAUCCGGCUAAUCCUAAAAAGCUUCGAAUCUCCGUGGGACUUUUCGGUUGUUCCCACUUCGUCACAGCUUCGAUCUUCGCUGGAUCAACCAUUAUCCCUUCUUGGUUGACCACGUGACCCAAGAAUUGGACCUCACGAAUCCAAAAAUCACAUUUGGAGAACUUCGCAUAAAGCUUCUCCUUCUUCAAAACUUCUAACACUUCUCGCAAGUGUCUGCCAUGCUCCUCCUGGCUUUUCGAGUAGAUCAGAAUGUCGUCUAUGAACACUAUCACGGAUUUAUCAAGGAAAGGAUUACAAACCCUAUUCAUCAAAUCCAUGAACGCUGCUGGAGCAUUGGUUAGUCCAAACGACAUAACCAAGAACUCGUAGUGUCCAUAUCUAGUUCUGAAUGCAGUCUUCUCGAUAUCUUGCUCUCUUACUUUCAGCUGAUGAUAUCCUGACCUAAGAUCGAUCUUCGAGAAAUAGCUCGAACCUUGCAAUUGAUCAAACAGGUCAUCAAUCCUCGGCAACGGAUAUCUAUUCUUUAUUGUUGCCUUGUUCAGCUCUCUGUAAUCGAUGCACAUUCUCAUACUUCCAUCUUUCUUCUUUACAAAUAACACCGGAGCUCCCCAGGGCGAUGAACUAGGUCUAAUGAAACCUUUGUCCAAUAACUCCUGAAGUUGCAUCAUCAGCUCCUUCAUCUCCGUCGGUGCUAAUCGAUAAGGUGCUUUUGCUAUUGGCGUGGUUCCUGGUAACAAGUCUAUUCUGAACUCCACUUGUCUAUCAGGUGGUAAUCCAGGAAGAUCUUCGGGAAAUACUUCCGGAUAAUCACACACCACUGGAAUACUCUGCAUCACCUUCUUUUCCUUCUUAGCAUCAAUCACGAAUGCUAAAUAUGAUGUACAUCCCUUGGUCAAACACUUUCUGGCUUUCAUUAGAGAAAUGAUUCCAGAAUUCACUCUGCGUUUGUCCCCAUACACCAUAAACGAAUCUUUCCCAGGCGGGUUUACUUUAACUAUCUUCUUCUUGCACAAUAUUUCGGCAUCAUUGGCGCUAAGCCAAUCCAUUCCCAAGACGAUGUCGAAACCAUUAAGUUCGAUAGGCAAUAAUUCCUCGUGAAACUUAUUCCCAUUAAGGUCGAUUAAGAUGUCUUUCAUACGAUGGCUAACAGGUACAAACUUGCCACUAGCAACUUCGACUAAUAAAGCAUUAUCUAGUCUAUCAACAGGCAAAGCUAGCUUUCUACCAAACUCAUGCGAAAUAAAGGAGUAGUUGGCUCCAGAAUCAAACAAAAUUUGAGCAGGUAAUUCAUUUACGAGAAAGGUACCUGAAGCGACAUCAACCUCAUCUUUCACGGCCUCAAGUGUCAUCUAGAAGGCUCUCGCCUUCGGCUUUGGUGGAAUGUUGGGCUUUGCUGCCUCCUUCUUCUUCGGAAAGUCUUUCAAAAUAUGCUCCUCUUCAUUACAACCAAAACACAUCCUAUUGUUGUUCGGACACCCAUUGGCAAAAUGUCCAACCUUUCCACACUUGUAGCAGGUUACAUCCUCGCUACAUUUCCCAAAGUGCUUCUUCUUACACUUAUCACACCACUUCGCUUCGCCUCCCUUUCCUCCAAACUUUUUCGAAUCAGAUUUCGAAAAUUUGCCUUUCUUACCGGAACCAGAUGUUCCCUCAAACAUUCUUUUUUCACCAACCUCAACCUUGUCGGUGGUUCUCCCCUUAAUCAUGUUCUCAACAGACUUGGCAGCCCAGAUAGCUGCCUCUAGAGUAUGUGCCUGACGUACUGGCACCUCAUACUCCCAUGGGAGUCCCUUCGCAUACCGGUCCACCUUUUUCAGCUCAUCUGGAACGAUACGCAAGGCAAACUCCAUCUUAUCGGUGAAGUUAUUGGUGUAUUCAUCAAUUGACAUGCUUCCCUUCGUCAAUGUCAGAAACUUGUUCUCCAAUUCCAAAAAAUUUUGAGCCGAACAGAACUUGCGCUUGUACUGCAGCAAGAAUUCUGCCCAUGUCAAUUGUAGUGGCUCAUUAGGGCUUAACGUCUUCCCUAGAGUGUUCCACCAACGAACGACUCCACCUCGAAACUGACGCGCUGCAUAGAUAGUCUGCAACUUGCCUCUGCAGCCACAUGUCAUGAAGGCUAACUCCAUUUCGGAGAUCCAAUCCAUAACUCCAAUCGGAUCCUCCUUUCCAUUGAAGGUCGAUGGUUUGCAAGUUAGAAAGUCCUUGUACUUGCAUCCCAUUCCAUCAUUCCUUCCAUCAUGGUUGUUUUGCCUAACUAUCGGUGGGUUGGCUUGACCAACAGACCCACUGAAGUUUCCACCUUCCGAGUGCCCUUCAUUUAAUUCAGGCUCCUCCACACGAAUUGACAGUUCUUCACGACUCUAUUGAAGCAACUGUCUAGUUUCAUCCAUCUGACGAUCCAACAUCGUNNNNNNNNNNNNNNNNNNNNNNNNNNNNNNNNNNNNNNNNNNNNNNNNNNNNNNNNNNNNNNNNNNNNNNNNNNNNNNNNNNNNNNNNNNNNNNNNNNNNGUUUGUGGUCGUCAUCUAAACUCCGCUAGAUGACUAAAUCAAAAAAUAACGAGGCCUCUCAUCUGUUUUAUUACACACCAACUAUCUACCCAUGUUCAACCCAACAUAUUAGUAGAUAAAUUAUACAUUUGUAUACAUAGUUUUGAAAACCUAUAUAGCAUGCUUUAAUCAAUACAUAUUCCACAUAACAGAUGAGGCACACACACACAUAACACGUAUUUCAUAGAGAAUAAAUCAUAUAUCUAUGAGAUAGAAGAAAGUGAAUACACAUUCACACAUAUAAACAACAAUAUACUUAAUACACUCAAACCAUACUUGUAUUAUUAUCGUGUUUAUGAAAGGUAGUAUACACUCACUUGAUCAGAAGAUGAUCAGACAGCACUACGACUUGCAGAAAUAGUAAAUCUCAAUAGAUCUGGAAGAUCUUCACAAAAAUCGAACUUCUCGCGGGCAGAGCUUCGGCUCG
RNAcentral lists this long non-coding RNA (6170 nucleotides) under Lactuca sativa (garden lettuce). RNAcentral describes it as "long non-coding RNA (LSAT_LNC009034)". Lineage: Eukaryota; Viridiplantae; Streptophyta; Magnoliopsida; Asterales; Asteraceae. The record is from RNAcentral.